RNAcentral lists this ribosomal RNA (302 nucleotides) under uncultured bacterium. Its description in RNAcentral is "partial 16S ribosomal RNA". It matches the Rfam family "Bacterial small subunit ribosomal RNA", at positions 508 to 807 of the family's 1533-position model. The record is from RNAcentral.
GCAGUAGCCGCGGUAAUACGAAGGGGGCUAGCGUUGUUCGGAGUUACUGGGCGUAAAGGGCGCGUAGGCGGCCAUUCAAGUUAGAUGUGAAAGCCCUGGGCUCAACCUAGGAAUUGCAUUUGAUACUGUUUGGCUUGAGUUCGGGAGAGGUGAGUGGAAUUCCCAGUGUAGAGGUGAAAUUCGUAGAUAUUGGGAAGAACACCAGUGGCGAAGGCGGCUCACUGGACCGACACUGACGCUGAGGCGCGAAAGCGUGGGGAGCAAACAGGAUUAGAGACCCCAGUAGUCCCUGUCUCUUAUAC